UAGGGAAUCUUCGGCAAUGGACGAAAGUCUGACCGAGCAACGCCGCGUGAGUGAAGAAGGUUUUCGGAUCGUAAAACUCUGUUGUUAGAGAAGAACAAGGACGUUAGUAACUGAACGUCCCCUGACGGUAUCUAACCAGAAAGCCACGGCUAACUACGUGCCAGCAGCCGCGGUAAUACGUAGGUGGCAAGCGUUGUCCGGAUUCAUUGGGCGUAAAGCGAGCGCAGGCGGUUUCUUAAGUCUGAUGUGAAAGCCCCCGGCUCAACCGGGGAGGGUCAUUGGAACCUGGUAGACUUGAGUGCAGAAGAGGAGAGUGGAAUUCCAUGUGUAGCGGUGAAAUGCGUAGAUAUAUGGAGGAACACCAGUGGCGAAGGCGGCUCUCUGGUCUGUAACUGACGCUGAGGCUCGAAAGCGUGGGGAGCAAACAGG
RNAcentral lists this ribosomal RNA (429 nucleotides) under Gemmatimonadota bacterium. RNAcentral describes it as "Gemmatimonadetes bacterium partial 16S ribosomal RNA". It matches the Rfam family "Bacterial small subunit ribosomal RNA", at positions 355 to 776 of the family's 1533-position model. The record is from RNAcentral. Lineage: Bacteria; Pseudomonadati; Gemmatimonadota.